AGUGAACGCUGGCGGUAGGCCUAACACAUGCAAGUCGAACGGCAGCACAGGAGAGCUUGUUCUCUGGGUGGCGAGUGGCGGACGGGUGAGGAAUACAUCGGAAUCUACUCUGUCGUGGGGGAUAACGUAGGGAAACUUACGCUAAUACCGCAUACGACCUACGGGUGAAAGCAGGGGACCUUCGGGCCUUGCGCGAUUGAAUGAGCCGAUGUCGGAUUAGCUAGUUGGCGGGGUAAAGGCCCACCAAGGCGACGAUCCGUAGCUGGUCUGAGAGGAUGAGCAGCCACACUGGAACUGAGAGACGGUCCAGACUCCUACGGGAGGCAGCAGUGGGGAAUAUUGGACAAUGGGCGCAAGCCUGAUCCAGCCAUACCGCGUGGGUGAAGAAGGCCUUCGGGUUGUAAAGCCCUUUUGUUGGGAAAGAAAUCCAGCUGGCUAAUACCCGGUUGGGAUGACGGUACCCAAAGAAUAAGCACCGGCUAACUUCGUGCCAGCAGCCGCCGUGA
Molecule: ribosomal RNA, 506 nt
Filed under: uncultured bacterium
Lineage: Bacteria
Description: partial 16S ribosomal RNA
Rfam family: Bacterial small subunit ribosomal RNA
Source: RNAcentral